AAAAAGGCAAAUCCUGAGUUUCCGUGUCCAACUUUGACUGUCCGUCUUAUAUAAAAAAUUUUCAUAAUUCGUAUUUUUAUUGUUGUUAGAUGAUAAAAUGAUAAAACAUAAUUAAUAUUUUAUGCGUGACUUGUUUUUUUAAUUUUUUUAAUAAUUUUUUCAAAUAAGACUGACGGUCAAACGUUGGGCACGGAAACCAGAGUUUGUCUUUUUU
This is a non-coding RNA of Oryza nivara, 214 nucleotides long. The record is from Rfam. NCBI's taxonomy places the organism in Eukaryota, Viridiplantae, Streptophyta, Magnoliopsida, Poales, Poaceae.